This 790-nucleotide transfer RNA is filed under the name uncultured cyanobacterium. RNAcentral's name for it is "partial 16S-23S ribosomal RNA intergenic spacer". The stretch from base 268 to 340 matches the Rfam family "tRNA". Lineage: Bacteria; Bacillati; Cyanobacteriota. The record is from RNAcentral.
CAGGGAGACAACACAAUGAUUUUGAUGCCUGAGUGCUUUUAUUCUUAGGCCGAAAUCCUGUCACCUUAGGUCGAUCGGUACCUCAGCUUUGAAGUCAAGAAUCAGCAGCAAUGCUGAUUGCUUGAUGGAGAUUUUCAGUUCCUAAACUUUGUCUAGGUCACACCCCAAAAGGGAUGAGACUCCUGGGCCAUUAGCUCAGGUGGUUAGAGCGCACCCCUGAUAAGGGUGAGGUCCCUGGUUCAAGUCCAGGAUGGCCCAUUCGGUGUUGGGGGUUUAGCUCAGUUGGUAGAGCGCCUGCUUUGCAAGCAGGAUGUCAGGAGUUCGAGUCUCCUAACCUCCACUGACCGAACUUUGUCCCCAGCUUCAAUUUUGUGGAGUUGAGCUCGAUUGGAGUGUGAUUUUAGAUGUGUCCGCUGGAUGACCCCAGCUUCCUAUCAUUCUAAGUUUUAGGUUUAGAGCUUUGAAUUUAGUUGAUAAGAUGCUGGGCUCAGAUCAGAUAAUCAAGCAAUUGAUGAUUUGAUUUGAAGUUCUAGCAGAACCUUGACAACUGCAUAGGUGAGUCUGGAAAAACAAAGCAUCUUACAGAUGCAUUGUUUUGAAUCUAAUCUUCUGAAAGGUAGAUUAGAUCUAGAACAAUGAAAAUUCUUUUGAGCAAGAGCCGAGACUCUUGAGCGUUCUUUGAUUCGUGUCGAGCGAAUCAGAGUUUGAUUUUGUUUUAGGAGUCAAUGAAAGUUGAUGACUAAAACAUGAGAAUCUGCUGUCAACGGCGGUAAGCGUUCAGAGGUUAAUU